CGGCGGACGGGUGAGUAACGCGUGGGUAACCGUGCCUCAUACAGGGGAGUAACAGUUGGAAACGACUGCUAAUACCGCAUAAGCGCACAGUACCGCAUGGUACCGUGUGAAAAACUCCGGUGGUAUGAGAUGGACCCGCGUCUGAUUAGCUAGUUGGUGGGGUAACGGCCUACCAAGGCGACGAUCAGUAGCCGACCUGAGAGGGUGACCGGCCACAUUGGGACUGAGACACGGCCCAA
RNAcentral lists this ribosomal RNA (239 nucleotides) under uncultured bacterium. RNAcentral describes it as "partial 16S ribosomal RNA". It matches the Rfam family "Bacterial small subunit ribosomal RNA", at positions 96 to 334 of the family's 1533-position model. The record is from RNAcentral.